GAUGAACGCUGGCGGCGUGCCUAAUACAUGCAGGUCGAGCGAACGGACGAGAAGCUUGCUUCUCUGAUGUUAGCGGCGGACGGGUGAGUAACACGUGGAUAACCUACCUAUAAGACUGGGAUAACUUCGGGAAACCGGAGCUAAUACCGGAUAAUAUUUUGAACCGCAUGGUUCAAAAGUGAAAGACGGUCUUGCUGUCACUUAUAGAUGGAUCCGCGCUGCAUUAGCUAGUUGGUAAGGUAACGGCUUACCAAGGCAACGAUGCAUAGCCGACCUGAGAGGGUGAUCGGCCACACUGGAACUGAGACACGGUCCAGACUCCUACGGGAGGCAGCAGUAGGGAAUCUUCCGCAAUGGGCGAAAGCCUGACGGAGCAACGCCGCGUGAGUGAUGAAGGUCUUCGGAUCGUAAAACUCUGUUAUUAGGGAAGAACAUAUGUGUAAGUAACUGUGCACAUCUUGACGGUACCUAAUCAGAAAGCCACGGCUAACUACGUGCCAGCAGCCGCGGUAAUACGUAGGUGGCAAGCGUUAUCCGGAAUUAUUGGGCGUAAAAGCGCGCGUAGGCGGUUUUUUAAGUCUGAUGUGAAAGCCCACGGCUCAACCGUGGAGGGUCAUUGGAAACUGGAAAACUUGAGUGCAGAAGAGGAAAGUGGAAUUCCAUGUGUAGCGGUGAAAUGCGCAGAGAUAUGGAGGAACACCAGUGGCGAAGGCGACUUUCUGGUCUGUAACUGACGCUGAUGUGCGAAAGCGUGGGGAUCAAACAGGAUUAGAUACCCUGGUAGUCCACGCCGUAAACGAUGAGUGCUAAGUGUUAGGGGGUUUCCGCCCCUUAGUGCUGCAGCUAACGCAUUAAGCACUCCGCCUGGGGAGUACGACCGCAAGGUUGAAACUCAAAGGAAUUGACGGGGACCCGCACAAGCGGUGGAGCAUGUGGUUUAAUUCGAAGCAACGCGAAGAACCUUACCAAAUCUUGACAUCCUUUGACAACUCUAGAGAUAGAGCUUUCCCCUUCGGGGGACAAAGUGACAGGUGGUGCAUGGUUGUCGUCAGCUCGUGUCGUGAGAUGUUGGGUUAAGUCCCGCAACGAGCGCAACCCUUAAGCUUAGUUGCCAUCAUUAAGUUGGGCACUCUAAGUUGACUGCCGGUGACAAACCGGAGGAAGGUGGGGAUGACGUCAAAUCAUCAUGCCCCUUAUGAUUUGGGCUACACACGUGCUACAAUGGACAAUACAAAGGGCAGCGAAACCGCGAGGUCAAGCAAAUCCCAUAAAGUUGUUCUCAGUUCGGAUUGUAGUCUGCAACUCGACUACAUGAAGCUGGAAUCGCUAGUAAUCGUAGAUCAGCAUGCUACGGUGAAUACGUUCCCGGGUCU
Molecule: ribosomal RNA, 1373 nt
Filed under: uncultured bacterium
Lineage: Bacteria
Description: bacterial SSU rRNA
Rfam family: Bacterial small subunit ribosomal RNA
Source: RNAcentral